AUUGAACGCUGGCGGCAGGCCUAACACAUGCAAGUCGAACGAGUGGCGGACGGGUGAGUAAUGUCUGGGAAACUGCCUGAUGGAGGGGGAUAACUACUGGAAACGGUAGCUAAUACCGCAUACCAUCGGAUGUGCCCAGAUGGGAUUAGCUAGUAGGUGGGGUAAAGGAUCACCUAGGCGACGAUCCCUAGCUGGUCUGUGAGGAUGACCAGGCACACUAGAACUGAGACACGGUCCAGACUACUACGGGAGGCAGCGGAGGGGAAUAUUGCACAAUGGGCUGAAGCCUGGUGCGGCCAUGCCGCGUGUAUGAAGAAGGCCUUCGGGUUGUAGAGGUAUUUUAGCGGUGAGGCGUUACCCGCAGAAGAAGCACCGGCUAACUCCGUGCCAGCAGCCGCGGUAAUAC
Molecule: ribosomal RNA, 406 nt
Filed under: uncultured bacterium
Lineage: Bacteria
Description: partial 16S ribosomal RNA
Rfam family: Bacterial small subunit ribosomal RNA
Source: RNAcentral